GACGAACCUUGGCGGCGAGCUUAACACAUGCAAGUCGAACGGAAAGGCCCUGCUUUUGUGGGGUGCUCGAGUGGCGAACGGGUGAGUAACACGUGAGUAACCUGCCCUUGACUUUGGGAUAACUUCAGGAAACUGGGGCUAAUACCGGAUAGGAGCUCCUGCUGCAUGGUGGGGGUUGGAAAGUUUCGGCGGUUGGGGAUGGACUCGCGGCUUAUCAGCUUGUUGGUGGGGUAGUGGCUUACCAAGGCUUUGACGGGUAGCCGGCCUGAGAGGGUGACCGGCCACAUUGGGACUGAGAUACGGCCCAGACUCCUACGGGAGGCAGCAGUGGGGAAUAUUGCACAAUGGGCGGAAGCCUGAUGCAGCAACGCCGCGUGCGGGAUGACGGCCUUCGGGUUGUAAACCGCUUUCGCCUGUGACGAAGCGUGAGUGACGGUAAUGGGUAAAGAAGCACCGGCUAACUACGUGCCAGCAGCCGCGGUGAUACGUAGGGUGCGAGCGUUGUCCGGAUUUAUUGGGCGUAAAGGGCUCGUAGGUGGUUGAUCGCGUCGGAAGUGUAAUCUUGGGGCUUAACCCUGAGCGUGCUUUCGAUACGGGUUGACUUGAGGAAGGUAGGGGAGAAUGGAAUUCCUGGUGGAGCGGUGGAAUGCGCAGAUAUCAGGAGGAACACCAGUGGCGAAGGCGGUUCUCUGGGCCUUUCCUGACGCUGAGGAGCGAAAGCGUGGGGAGCGAACAGGCUUAGAUACCCUGGUAGUCCACGCUGUAAACGGUGGGUACUAGGUGUGGGGUCCAUUCCACGGGUUCCGUGCCGUAGCUAACGCUUUAAGUACCCCGCCUGGGGAGUACGGCCGCAAGGCUAAAACUCAAAGGAAUUGACGGGGCCCCGCACAAGCGGCGGAGCAUGCGGAUUAAUUCGAUGCAACGCGUAGAACCUUACCUGGGUUUGACAUGGAUCGGGAGUGCUCAGAGAUGGGUGUGCCUCUUUUGGGGUCGGUUCACAGGUGGUGCAUGCCUGUCGUCAGCUCGUGUCGUGAGAUGUUGGGUUAAGUCCCGCAACGAGCGCAACCCUUGUUCACUGUUGCCAGCACGUUAUGGUGGGGACUCAGUGGAGACCGCCGGGGUCAACUCGGAGGAAGGUGGGGAUGACGUCAAGUCAUCAUGCCCCUUAUGUCCAGGGCUUCACGCAUGCUACAAUGGCUGGUACAGAGAGUGGCGAGCCUGUGAGGGUGAGCGAAUCUCGGAAAGCCGGUCUCAGUUCGGAUUGGGGUCUGCAACUCGACCUCAUGAAGUCGGAGUCGCUAGUAAUCGCAAAGCAGCAACGCUGCGGUGAAUACGUUCCCGGGGCU
This 1346-nucleotide ribosomal RNA is filed under the name uncultured bacterium. Its description in RNAcentral is "partial 16S ribosomal RNA". It matches the Rfam family "Bacterial small subunit ribosomal RNA", at positions 28 to 1381 of the family's 1533-position model. The record is from RNAcentral.